Molecule: ribosomal RNA, 439 nt
Filed under: uncultured bacterium
Lineage: Bacteria
Description: bacterial SSU rRNA
Rfam family: Bacterial small subunit ribosomal RNA
Source: RNAcentral
GCAUAACGCGAAGAACCUUACCAAGGCUUGACAUACACCAGAAUACCCUGGAAACAGGGGGCUCUUUGGACACUGGUGGACAGGUGGUGCAUGGUUGUCGUCAGCUCGUGUCGUGAGAUGUUGGGUUAAGUCCCGCAACGAGCGCAACCCUCGUUCUAUGUUGCCAGCACGUUAUGGUGGGAACUCAUGGGAUACUGCCGGGGUCAACUCGGAGGAAGGUGGGGAUGACGUCAAAUCAUCAUGCCCCUUAUGUCUUGGGCUUCACGCAUGCUACAAUGGCCGGUACAAUGGGCUGCGAUACCGUGAGGUGGAGCGAAUCCCAAAAAGCCGGUCCCAGUUCGGAUCGUAGUCUGCAACUCGACUACGUGAAGUCGGAGUCGCUAGUGAUCGCAGAUCAGCAACGCUGCGGUGAAUACGUUCCCGGGUCUUGUACACACCG